AUGCAGAGAUCCUGCUAUUUGAUCAAUGGAUGCAACCCAUGGGGGCAUGCAGAUGAUGGCGAGGCAUCAUGUUGUGGUGACAGCGAGGAAAGUAACCUAGAUGAAGGCAGUGGCAACGGGUGGCUGUCGACGAAAGCGGCGUGGGGAUGGGGGAGGUGGGUGGCAAGGGAUGAUUGGGCGGUGAAUGGCAGCCGAGGAGACGGAGCAGUGGCAAGAUUGGACGAGCUCGCCUUCGGAGUGCGUCUGAGGCAAGAUUUCCUUUCCGGGUUGGCCGAGGGCUUCCUUGUGUGUUUAUUAUUUCCGGCAGAAGUGGUGAACAUGCAGGGUUAA
Molecule: ribosomal RNA, 330 nt
Filed under: Triticum aestivum (bread wheat)
Lineage: Eukaryota; Viridiplantae; Streptophyta; Magnoliopsida; Poales; Poaceae
Description: partial small subunit ribosomal RNA
Source: RNAcentral